Molecule: long non-coding RNA, 862 nt
Organism: Nicotiana attenuata
Lineage: Eukaryota; Viridiplantae; Streptophyta; Magnoliopsida; Solanales; Solanaceae
Exons: 2
Source: RefSeq, a predicted model, not a curated record
GUUAAUAACUUCUUGACAGUUCAACACCAUUAAGUGAUUCCCCACUUCCAUCUUCCUUCUAAACCACCUUUUUAAUGAGAAACUGAUUCUAAUAUACAUAAUGCCCUCUCUGUAUAGAUAUCAAAAGCACAAUCAUAGUUGCUUUCUCACUCCAUUUUUUCCAAAAAAUUCUUCUCUAUCUAUUUGUUAGCAAACAGCACAAAGGGCAUUCUUGUUUGUACAAAGGAAAGAAAAGAUGUCUUCUACUUGUGGGGUUCUCUUCCUCCUUAUAUUCCUUAUGUUAAUUACAAGUUUUGGAGCCUCAAAUUCCCACGCAAAAGGGGAAGAGCCGGAGAUGGUACCAAUAAUUGAGGAGAAGAUGAUGGUGAUGUUAAAUGAGACAAGAAGGAAGCUUGGGAGCUUCAAGAUUUGUGCAAUCUGCACUUGUUGUGGUGGAGCUAAGGGCUAUUGUGUGCCUUCUCCUUGUUGCUAUGCUAUCAACUGCAAUAUACCACAUAGGCCUUUUGGUUUCUGUUCUUUCACUCCCAGAACUUGUAAUUGCUUUGGAUGUCAUCUCUAAAUCCAACUUCAAAUUAUUUCACUUUCUAUAAAGAAAAAAAAAGAAAAAAAGAGUUGGAGGAUCUGAAUUAUAAGUAUUAGAUAUUUUUGGCAUUAAUUCUGUUUGAUUGUCUAAAUGAAGAGGUUAUGUGUAGGUUUUAUUUUUUGGAUUAAAAUUUAAGGGAGAGCUACUUCCAGGUAAGUUUUUUUCUACUUGGUUGGAUUUGUCCCUUAGAAUUAGUGUUACAACUAUAAUUGUUUUUUGUUAUUACUUGUGAAGUAAAGAUAUUAUAUUAUAUAUAAUUGUGUGUGAGAGUUUUAUUGA